This 253-nucleotide ribosomal RNA is filed under the name uncultured bacterium. RNAcentral's name for it is "partial 16S ribosomal RNA". It matches the Rfam family "Bacterial small subunit ribosomal RNA", at positions 524 to 776 of the family's 1533-position model. The record is from RNAcentral.
AACGUAGGAGGCGAACGUUAUCCGGAUUUACUGGGCGUAAAGCGCGUGUAGGUGGUUCGUUAAGUAGGGCGUGAAAGCUCCUGGCUCAACUGGGAGAGGUCGUUCUAAACUAACGGACUCGAGGAUGGUAGAGGGAAGUGGAAUUCCGGGUGUAGCGGUGGAAUGCGCAGAUAUCCGGAGGAACACCAGUGGCGAAAGCGGCUUCCUGGACCAAACCUGACACUAAGACGCGAAAGCUAGGGUAGCAAACGGG